RNAcentral lists this ribosomal RNA (483 nucleotides) under uncultured bacterium. Its description in RNAcentral is "partial 16S ribosomal RNA". It matches the Rfam family "Bacterial small subunit ribosomal RNA", at positions 28 to 523 of the family's 1533-position model. The record is from RNAcentral.
GACGAACGCUGGCGGCGUGCCUAACACAUGCAAGUCGAACGAGGUCCAAGGGAGCUUGCUCCCUGAAGACCUAGUGGCGAACGGGUGAGUAACACGUGAGAAACCUGCCCUCGAGUGGGGAAUAACCCGGGGAAACCCGGGCUAAUACCGCAUACGCUCCUCUGGUCGCAUGGCCGGAGGAGGAAAGUUUUUCGCUCAAGGAGGGUCUCGCGGCCUAUCAGCUUGUUGGCGGGGUAACGGCCCACCAAGGCUACGACGGGUAGCUGGUUUGAGAGCACGAUCAGCCACACUGGGGCGGGGACACGGGCCAGACUCCUACGGGAGGCAGCAGUGGGGAAUCUUGCGCAAUGGGCGAAAGCCUGACGCAGCAACGCCGCGUGCGGGAUGACGGCCUUCGUGGUUGUAAACCGCUUUCAGCAGGGACGAAAAUGACGGUACCUGCAGAAGAAGCUCCGGCUAACUACGUGCCAGCCGCCGCCGUAA